UACAGAGGUCCCAAGCGUUGUUCGGAUUCACUGGGCGUAAAGGGUGCGUAGGUGGUUAGGUAAGUCUGAUGUGAAAUCUCUGGGCUCAACCCAGAAACUGCAUUGGAUACUAUCUAGCUAGAGGAGUGGAGGGGGGACUGGAAUACUUGGUGUAGCAGUGAAAUGCGUAGAUAUCAAGUGGAACACCAGUGGCGAAGGCGAGUCCCUGGACACCUCCUGACACUGAGGCACGAAAGCUAGGGGAGCAAACAGG
This 253-nucleotide ribosomal RNA is filed under the name uncultured bacterium. RNAcentral describes it as "partial 16S ribosomal RNA". It matches the Rfam family "Bacterial small subunit ribosomal RNA", at positions 524 to 776 of the family's 1533-position model. The record is from RNAcentral.